Long non-coding RNA from Equus quagga, 312 nucleotides. RefSeq lists it as uncharacterized. Lineage: Eukaryota; Metazoa; Chordata; Mammalia; Perissodactyla; Equidae. The transcript is spliced from 2 exons. The record is from RefSeq and is a predicted model, not a curated record.
UCUAGUUGUGGCACAUGGGACACCGCCUCAACGUGGCACGACAAGCGGUGCCAUGUCGGCACCCAGGAUGAGAACCAGCAAAACCCCAGGCCAUUGAAGUGGAGCACACAAACUGAAGCACUUGGCCCCGGGCCCGCCCCUGGAGGGUGUGAUUUCUAAAGAGUUCAGUUCAACUGACUUAAGAGAGCUCCCAGACCUUAAGCAUCAUGGACUACAACCUGGACAAUUUAUUUAUCAGAAGAGGCAUCAAAUAAAAGACCGUUUGCAGCCGUGUUGGAAAGGACCACACCAGGAGGAGAAGAAGACGGCGUC